Molecule: ribosomal RNA, 393 nt
Filed under: uncultured bacterium
Lineage: Bacteria
Description: partial 16S ribosomal RNA
Rfam family: Bacterial small subunit ribosomal RNA
Source: RNAcentral
AUACGGAAGGUCCGGGCGUUAUCCGGAUUUAUUGGGUUUAAAGGGAGCGCAGGCGGAGAUGCAAGCGUGACGUCAAAUUUCGGGGCUCAACCCCGUCACGCGUCGCGAACUGCGUCCCUUGGUUGCGGGAAGGGGAGGCGGAACUCGUGGUGUAGCGGUGAAAUGCAUAGAUAUCACGAAGAACUCCGAUCGCGAAGGCAGCCUUCCGGCCCGUCAACGACGCUCAUGCUCGAAGGUGCGGGUAUCAAACAGGAGUAGAUACCCUGGUAGUCCGCACAGUAAACGAUGGACACCCGCGGUUUGGCCUGUAUGGCUGAGCCGCCAAGCGAAAGCGUUAAGUGUCCCACCUGGGGAGUACGCCGGCAACGGUGAAACUCAAAGGAAUUGACGGGG